RNAcentral lists this ribosomal RNA (253 nucleotides) under uncultured prokaryote. Its description in RNAcentral is "partial 16S ribosomal RNA". It matches the Rfam family "Bacterial small subunit ribosomal RNA", at positions 525 to 777 of the family's 1533-position model. The record is from RNAcentral.
ACGUAGGGUGCGAGCGUUAAUCGGAAUUACUGGGCGUAAAGCGUGCGCAGGCGGUGAUGUAAGACAGGUGUGAAAUCCCCGGGCUUAACCUGGGAACUGCGCUUGUGACUGUACGGCUAGAGUGUGUCAGAGGGGGGUAGAAUUCCACGUGUAGCAGUGAAAUGCGUAGAGAUGUGGAGGAAUACCGAUGGCGAAGGCAGCCCCCUGGGAUAACACUGACGCUCAUGCACGAAAGCGUGGGGAGCAAACAGUA